AGAGUUUGAUCAUGGCUCAGGACGAACGCUGGCGGCGUGCCUAAUACAUGCAAGUCGAGCGGACCUUCGGACUCCUUCGGGAGCCUAGGGUUAGCGGCGGACGGGUGAGUAACACGUGGGCAAUCUGCCCGACAGACUGGAAUAACGCCUGGAAACGGGUGCUAAUGCCAGAUAAACAAUCGAGAGGCAUCUUUCGAUUG
Molecule: ribosomal RNA, 200 nt
Filed under: uncultured bacterium
Lineage: Bacteria
Description: partial 16S ribosomal RNA
Rfam family: Bacterial small subunit ribosomal RNA
Source: RNAcentral